Molecule: long non-coding RNA, 3793 nt
Filed under: Homo sapiens (human)
Lineage: Eukaryota; Metazoa; Chordata; Mammalia; Primates; Hominidae
Description: HSALNT0001868
Source: RNAcentral
GAGGGAUGUUUUCUUCUUGCUGUUCCAGGGAAUGUGCUGAGUUAACACCUUUUUUCUUUUUAUUGGAGCCGCUGUGGCAGGGAAGACAGUGGUGAGGGGCUUCCUUUGAGUAAAAAGCAGGUAAAUUCAGCCCCUGCUUGCUCCACUGUCUGCCCCUCCAGGGCCUCUGUGUCCUGAUGCAGAGUCCAGCCUGUUCUCACCAGGCUCGCAUUCCUUAUGCCAAGAGACCCACCAAAAAAGAAAGUCCCAAGAAACAGGAAGGAACACCACCAGCAAGAGACCUCACACUCACAGACCUCAGAGAUAUUCAUGGCCUGAGGGGCACAAAGGAGAGUGUGUUGGGAGCGGAUCCCCACUUAGAAAGAAGCAAGACAGUGCCCCAAGGCCUGGAAGAUGUCAGCUGCUUCCUCUGUGCUGUGCUGUGGGGAAGGCCAUCACCGUUUUAACGCCUCUUGAGUCUCCCCCUUCAGCACCACCUGACAAUCCUCAGCCCUGGACAAUGUGAGAUUUUUUUGACCGAGGAUCACUGUGCUCCUUCAGGAUCCACCAGAAAGUGCUGGUUAGCCUGAUAGGCCCUGGUUUGACUUACAUCUAGCAAGACCUUCAUCUGGUUUGCAGGAGUAGAUAGGGGGUCACUUGGAUGACAGGGACUCCAGUCCAGACCCCAUUCUCCCUCAUUCCCUCCUGCAAAGUUCAAUCCUCACAGUCCUCUGAGGCUGUGGCAAGUGCAGAAACAGAACUGCGCCUAUCCAAAGUGCCUCCCUUCCCCUGGACUCAUGCCAAGGCUUCCUCCCUCUGACCUGUCCCUUGUCUUUGCAUCUAGGGUGGAUGCUUGCCACUGACCCUCUCUCCCCAGGUUUCCCUGCUAGACUGACUUUCUGCCCCUGGGAUUGGGUGGGGCAGCCAAUGGAACCUCAUGCAGACCAGGGUGAAAUCAAAGGGCCUUGGAAACUCACAGCCCCACAUCCAGGCCCCAGUCCUUUCAGAGUCUCAGAUCCAAGUCCCCAGUUUAUCAGGGAUGUGGCUCUGUGAAAGCCAGAGAACCCGGUCCCCAGGGCUGCUGCCAUCUCUCUCCUCCUCAUUUACUCUGGCCCCCAUCAGCUCCUCUGGGCCACUCCCUUUCUGGAGUCCCCCUGGCUCCAUCCGGCGGCAGUGAGUUCGCAGAUCUCCUGGACCCCAGGCUGCUACAGGCACCUCCCUCAACAUCCACUGUCUGCUCUCAGAGUGACCUUCUCCUCAUAUCUUUAUUGGAGGAAAAAAGAGGGGAAGCCCCUGGUCUUGGGGAAGAUAGUUAUAAAUGCAAUCUGGAAUAAAACCCCCUUGAGGACUAGAGGAGGCCAGCAGGGCCUGACCAGAGAUUUUUGACUGUUAGAAAUGCACAGAGGGCAAACACCACAGGAAAAGCGCUGACUCAGAAACAGACUCACUGCAUUCCAGGUGCAGCCUCCUCAGCUCUAAGGCUGGGCCAGCAGAGCCUGGGAAGGGAUGGCCCCCACACUGGGACCAUCCCAGGCUCUGCCAACAGCCUGGCACUUCUAGGAGAACCAGAGGAGUCGGCUCUUCCUGUGCAAGGUAGACAAGGUUCCCCUCCAUUGGUCCCGGUUGCCUCUUUAGGUCCAGAGCAGCAGCUGAGGAGCUCCCUGCUUUAUGCCUUGCUGUGGGCACUGAAAUAGCUCAGUAGAAUUUGGGGAGAAUGUAUGAGUCACUGCUGAUUCCAGGGAGAGUGUUUCUUAGCAUUGUUUGUGGCCAUACUCCUGGGUGCAGGAGAGAUUGGCUGACAUUUCCAGGAAGCAGAGGACUCAGCUUCUCUGACAGCUCAGGCUGGGGGAGGAAAAUUCAAGUUCAGAAAUACUUUAGAACCCCGAUGAAAAGCCUGGAGAAGCUUUGGAAUCCCAGUAGAAAUUCAGUGAGUGGAACUGAGGUUAAGCCAUCCCUUCAGAUGGACUCAAAAGGCUGCACUGACCUGGACAGCAGAGGAGCACCUUCAGAAGCACAGGCAACCAGAACAUGGUAGAAAGACCCCCCAAACUGCAGGAUUCUCGCUGGGGUCCUGAGGAUGGUGCAGGAUUUCCCCAAGGGGUUCAUUUCUCUCACAAAUUCUGCAGAUACACAGCUUCCACCAUUCAUGCUUCCAGAUCGAAAAGUCUCCCUCUUUAUGUCUGACCACACUGCUCCUCUCUGGGCUCUGCCCCAGCUCACACACUCAGAUUCACUCUUCCCAAGCUGGUAUUCUGAGGGAAGCCCAACACGUUUGUGAGUAAUGAUGCCUCACCUUCAAGUAGGAGCCAAGACUGUGUCUGCUCUCUCUGCCCUCAAAGACACUGUGAUGCUUUAAGGAUCUGCAUUAUCUCUUUUGUAAUUAUGUUUUUUUAAAAUUUUUAAACUCAAUCUAGAAGGAAGUCUUUCAAUCCUUUUGUCUAAAUGCCCACAAAAUACCUGCCAUGUUUUAUGUUGUCUAGCUUCCCUCCCAGGGUCCCAUGAAAACACUCAGUCCUGUCCAGCCCAGCCCCCACAUCACUUUGUAAUUUAGGCCUGAUUUCUUUCAGUGAAUCCUUGACCUUAACCUUGAGAUAAAUUACACCCUCAGUAGUUCCUGUUUUCCACCUGAAUGGGCAUAUGAUCUACCAUGUUAGGUAGCACAAAACCCAGGUGACAAGUGGAUACACCAAGAUUUUUAUUGUGUUUUUCAGGGAUGACAUCACUGUCUUCUUAAAGUUGUUUUAACUCUAAAACAUUUUGAUGCUUUUGAUGUGGCCAAAGGUUCUCUAAUAAAGAUACCACAUAUAUAUAUAUUUUUUUUUCUAAUGUCAGAAACAGCUUAAAUCCUUCCCUGUAUCACUAUGAAAGUCACAUAUUAGUCAAACUUUACCAGUGUUUAUGGAAUAAGUGAAUAAAUGAGUUUUAGACCUUCACCCUAUUAUUAAUUCUUUCACUUUUAUGAAUCUAUAUCUAAUUUAAUCACUUAAUAAGAAGAAAGUUGAAAACUCAAUCAGGGUUAACUGGAUGGAAGUUCAGGAUCUAGUUGGAUGUCAUUUUUGGAUUGGAAGUUGGUAAUUGAGAAGGGGGUCGUGGUGAGAAAGGUCAAUAAAAGCUCCUGAAGAUGCACAGAAGAGACCCAAAGCCCUGGCUCCUGGAGCUACUGCUUGAUUCUGGCAGAGGUCCCAGCACCCUGCAACGUGAGUCCAGAUCUGGCAAGUCACCACUUAUUAGGAUUGGGAAUGUGCCCAUUUGAUCUGAUCUUCUGUAUAGCACGUCAUACAAAAAAGUCUGGAAGACGCUAGCACAUACACUGUGAAGGGAAGUCACAGAUAAGGGGAAGAUUAUAGAAGACAUUUGCUCUGUGUUUUUGGAAUGUUUUGCAUUGAGAAUUCUGUCCAGAGAAGGGAAAAAGGAUGAAAAUCAAAUGAAGCUCACCCCCAUGUACCUCUAUGUACCUCUUACCAUGCUGGACUUUCUUUUGUUUUGUUUUCUUUUCUCUUUUUUUUUUUUCUGAUAUGGCAUCUAGCUCUGUUGCCCAGGCUGGAGUGCAGUGGCACGAUCUUCAAUCACUGCAACCUCCACAUCCUGGGUUCAAGCAAUUCUCCUCCCUCAGCCUCUCCAGUAGCUGGGACUACAGGUACAUGCCACCAUGCCUGGUUAAUUUUUUUUAUUAUACUUUAAGUUUUAGGGUACAUGUGUACAAUGUGCAGGUUACUUACAUAUGAAUACAUGUGCCAUGUUGGUGUGCUGCACCCAGUAACUCGCCAUUUAACAUUAGGUAUAUCUCCAAAUGAUAUCCCUCCCCCCUCCCCCC